Molecule: long non-coding RNA, 1301 nt
Organism: Trichechus manatus latirostris (Florida manatee)
Lineage: Eukaryota; Metazoa; Chordata; Mammalia; Sirenia; Trichechidae
Exons: 2
Source: RefSeq, a predicted model, not a curated record
UGGCUGCUAUUGGUCAGCAGCUAAUUGGCGGGUCCCUAUAAGAGGUCCAGGGCCAGGAGCUGGCCACUCUCCUGCCUGGGCUGCCUGCUCAACGGGGGAGGGGGGUGUCCAGUGUUUCAGCCACUUGUGAUAGAUGACCAAGUGACCUCUUCCUUGGGGUAUGCACACCAGUGGAAGACACACAAACUGGUUGUGGCCGACUUCAUCAAAUGCUGGCGUCCUAUGGAAUGAAAUGCAGAUAACUCUUUAGAAAACUUUUAUAGGAAAAGCGGCUCGUGUGAUCUGGAACAAAGACAUUUUAUAAUCAGAUUUAUCAAGCUGCGAAGAGGGAGCUUUAGCGAACGGAAGCAGCAGCAUUCUGUCACCAGGAAAUACUUUAUCCAGAAUUGGUAAGUGAAAAAUGGCAUUGCUCCCUAAUAGAUAUCAUAUGGUGUGUGGGGGAAUUGUAAAAUUGUUCACAGACCCCUAACUGUUGAACCAGAGAGCACAUAAACAGAGUCAGGAAUUCUAAAAAAGAGCUGCCCAAGAGUAUAGCAUAAAGGCUGAGAAUGAGACCAGGUAAUUAACAAAAAUGAGCCGUGUGUCACUCAUUUAGCAAGCAUAUGUAAUGCAUUUAGUUUUAGGGUUUUUUUCUUCCUUUUUAGUGGGGGGAAGCAUACCAUCAAAAUGAGUUGUUUGGUAGUUAUGGCUUUAACUUUCCAUGGAUAUAGAUUUCCAUAUAGUCUGUAAUAGUAUGUUCGGUGUUUGAAGGACUGCUUUCAACGCCUGUCUCCUUGCCUUCCUUCUACCCAAGGGUGUCAAGCAUUCAGUUAGAACGUUAACAAAAUGAAAGUACGAGUAAUGCAUUGGAAACGUUUUCUACUGAUUGUGAAGGGCAGAUUAAAAUGGGAAUCGAUUUUUCUUUUUUACAUUUGUGCCAUAAAUUCUAGGAUUGUUUUGUUUGAUUACAUUAGUACAGCAAAUGGGUGGUUCUUUUUGUAUGGUCCAUUACAUUUUGAGAGAUCGUGCUUAGCAUUUUCUAUUGGUUUUGUGUGUGUGUGUGUAUAUAUAUAUAUCUGCCUGUCUUAUCUUUUUCCGAAACCUUAAAUUAAGUUCUCUAAUCUCAAAUCUGAACUGCCCCUAUGUUUAAGGUUUCCAGAAAAAUACAAUAAAGCUUUGAAUGCCUGUGUUAUAUACAAUGGGUUCCUGUUCACAAACUGUAAGGAAAGACAGUUUUAUAUUAGGAAUGAAUGUCAGAUUUCUUGAUCUGGUUUCUUAAGAAUGAUUGUGCCAAAAAGGUUGAAUAGAAUAAGAAAAUAAAA